Molecule: transfer RNA, 571 nt
Filed under: Gloeocapsopsis crepidinum BDU 20121
Lineage: Bacteria; Bacillati; Cyanobacteriota; Cyanophyceae; Chroococcidiopsidales; Chroococcidiopsidaceae
Description: partial contains 16S-23S ribosomal RNA intergenic spacer, tRNA-Ile and tRNA-Ile
Rfam family: tRNA (bases 257-329)
Source: RNAcentral
UUAUUAGGGAGACCGUGGGAAAAGCAGCGAAAAAAAGACAGCUGCAAAACACCACAAUCCCAAGGUCAUCAAGCAAGUGAAGACAAGGAGUAGAAUCGUCAAACUAGAAGGGGUUCGGCAAAAUAAAGAACGGGCUAUUAGCUCAGGUGGUUAGAGCGCACCCCUGAUAAGGGUGAGGUCCCUGGUUCAAGUCCAGGAUGGCCCACCAUGGAUAAGUUCGAAAUUCAGAGUAAGAAACUCGGAGUGAAACGAGCGAGGGGGUAUAGCUCAGUUGGUAGAGCGCCUGCUUUGCAAGCAGGAUGUCAGCGGUUCAAGUCCGCUUACCUCCACCACAAGCCGAAAGCGAAGAGUGCCCGAACAGAGGAACAACAACUAGCAUCAUCUCAGCGAAAAGAUUAGCAGCGAGAGAAUGCUGGGGGUUAAACUCAGUACAGAACCUUGAAAACUGCAUAAAUCAAAACCAAGUUAAACACUAAUACUAAUUAGGUAACAAUCAGUAACGAAAAGUCCAGGUAAUUGAUAAUUACCAAGUCAGACCGAGAGAGGUCAAGCUACGAAGGGCUAACGGUGG